Molecule: ribosomal RNA, 406 nt
Filed under: uncultured bacterium
Lineage: Bacteria
Description: partial 16S ribosomal RNA
Rfam family: Bacterial small subunit ribosomal RNA
Source: RNAcentral
AUUGAACGCUGGCGGCAGGCCUAACACAUGCAAGUCGAACGAGUGGCGGACGGGUGAGAAAUGUCUGGGAAACUGCCUGAUGGAGGGGGAAAAAUAAGGGAAACGGUAGCUAAAACCGCAUACCAACGGAGGAGGCCAGAUGGGAUUAGCAAGGAGGUGGGGUAAAGGCUAACCUAGGCGACGAUCCCUAGCUGGUCUGAGAGGAUGACCAGCCACUCUGGAACUGAGACACGGUCCAGACUCCUACGUGAGGCAGCAGUGGGGAAUAUUGCACAAUGGGCUCAAGCCUGAUGCAGCCAUGCCGCGUGUAUGAAGAAGGCCUUCGGGUUGUAAAGUACUUUCAGCGUGGAGGCGUUACCCGCAGAAGAAGCACCGGCUAACUCCGUGCCAGCAGCCGCGGUAAUUC